This is a non-coding RNA of Saimiri boliviensis boliviensis (Bolivian squirrel monkey), 514 nucleotides long. Lineage: Eukaryota; Metazoa; Chordata; Mammalia; Primates; Cebidae. The record is from RefSeq and is a predicted model, not a curated record.
AUGUCCACUAUCCAGAACCUCCACUCUUUCGACCCCUUUGCUUAUGCAAGUAAGGGUGAUGACCUGCUUCCUGCUGGCACUGAGGAUUAUAGCCAUAUAAGAAUUCAACAGAGAAACGGCAGAAGACCCUUACUACUGUCCAAGGGAUGAUUACGAUAAAAAGAAACUAGUGAAGGCGUUUAAGAAGAAGUUUGCCUGCAAUGGUACUGUAAUUGAGCAUCCAGAAUAUGGAGAAGUAAUUCAGCUACAGGGUGACCAACGCAAGAACAUAUGCCAGUUCCUCGUAGAGAUUGGACUGGCUAAGGACUGUCAGCUGAAGAUUCAUGGGUUUUAAGUGCUUGUGGCUCACUGAAGCUUAAGUGAGGAUUUCCUUGCAAUGAGUAGAAUGUCCCUUCUGUCCCUUGUCACAAGUUUAAAAACCUCACAGCUUGUAUAAUGUAACCAUUUGGGGUCUGCUUUUAACUUGGACUAGUGUAACUCCUUCAUGCAAUAAACUGAAAAGAGCCAUAAAAAA